CAUGGCAUCUGGCAGCUAGAAGAUGCUAAAACAAUGCUUUCCAAAUGCCAAGGAAAAAUACUUUCAACAUAACAUUUUAUAUCAAGCAAAGAACAUUACUAGAUGGGAAACAAAAGCGAUGGAGAAAUCAAAAAGUUGGGGAUACAUGGGAAUCAGUGUAAGAGACAGCUAUCUGCUCAGCCUGCGAGUGCUGCAGUCCCACAGAGGUGAGCCUACAAAUCCCUUACACAAUUUGCCCCCAGAUCUGGAUCUCUUGUG
This is a long non-coding RNA of Ochotona curzoniae (black-lipped pika), 258 nucleotides long. RefSeq lists it as uncharacterized. Lineage: Eukaryota; Metazoa; Chordata; Mammalia; Lagomorpha; Ochotonidae. The record is from RefSeq and is a predicted model, not a curated record. The transcript is spliced from 3 exons.